This 201-nucleotide ribosomal RNA is filed under the name uncultured Carnobacteriaceae bacterium. Its description in RNAcentral is "partial 16S ribosomal RNA". It matches the Rfam family "Bacterial small subunit ribosomal RNA", at positions 140 to 334 of the family's 1533-position model. The record is from RNAcentral. Lineage: Bacteria; Bacillati; Bacillota; Bacilli; Lactobacillales; Carnobacteriaceae.
GGGAUAACAUUCGGAAACGGAUGCUAAAACCGCAUAGGUCUUCGAACCGCAUGGUUUGAAGAGGAAAAGAGGCGCAAGCUUCUGCUGAUGGAUGGACCCGCGGUGCAUUAGCUAGUUGGUGAGGUAACGGCUCACCAAGGCCGUGAUGCAUAGCCGACCUGAGAGGGUGAUCGGCCACAUUGGGACUGAGAUACGGCCCAG